RNAcentral lists this ribosomal RNA (491 nucleotides) under uncultured bacterium. RNAcentral describes it as "partial 16S ribosomal RNA". It matches the Rfam family "Bacterial small subunit ribosomal RNA", at positions 27 to 507 of the family's 1533-position model. The record is from RNAcentral.
GAUUGAACGCUGGCGGCAGGCCUAACACAUGCAAGUCGAACGGUAACAGAAAGCAGCUUGCUGCUUUGCUGACGAGUGGCGGACGGGUGAGUAAUGUCUGGGAAACUGCCUGAUGGAGGGGGAUAACUACUGGAAACGGUAGCUAAUACCGCAUAACGUCGCAAGACCAAAGAGGGGGACCUUCGGGCCUCUUGCCAUCGGAUGUGCCCAGAUGGGAUUAGCUAGUAGGUGGGGUAACGGCUCACCUAGGCGACGAUCCCUAGCUGGUCUGAGAGGAUGACCAGCCACACUGGAACUGAGACACGGUCCAGACUCCUACGGGAGGCAGCAGUGGGGAAUAUUGCACAAUGGGCGCAAGCCUGAUGCAGCCAUGCCGCGUGUAUGAAGAAGGCCUUCGGGUUGUAAAGUACUUUCAGCGGGGAGGAAGGGAGUAAAGUUAAUACCUUUGCUCAUUGACGUUACCCGCAGAAGAAGCACCGGCUAACUCCGUG